This 604-nucleotide ribosomal RNA is filed under the name uncultured bacterium. Its description in RNAcentral is "bacterial SSU rRNA". It matches the Rfam family "Bacterial small subunit ribosomal RNA", at positions 8 to 617 of the family's 1533-position model. The record is from RNAcentral.
AGAGUUUGAUCAUGGCUCAGGAUGAACGCUAGCAGCAUACUUUAUACAUGCUAGUCGAAUGUUUUAAUAGACAUGGCGUACAGGUGAGUAAUACACAAGAAUUUGCCUUAAAGUCUCGGGAUAAUCAUAUUUAAAUUUUAUAUUUAAAGAAUGUUAUGCAGUGAAAAUACCGGAUAUUAGUAAAGGUACUAAUACCGCUUUAAGAUAAGCUUGUGCAGGAUUAGGUUGUUGGUAGAGUAAAAGCCUACCAAGCCGAUGAUCCUUAGCUGGUCUGAGAGGAUGGUCAGCCACACUGGGACUGAGAUAAGGCCCAGGCUUAUAAGCCAGCAGUAGGGAAUCUUGGACAAUGGGCGAAAGCCUGACCCAGUAAUGCUGCGUGAACGAAGAAAGCACAAAAGAUUUCUAGCAUUUAUUUGUUUUAAAUUGGCUGUAAAGUUCUUUCACUGAUGAAGAUAAUGACGUUAAUCAGAGAAGAAGUCCCGGCUAACUUCGUGCCAGCAGCCGCGGUAAUACGAAGGGGGCAAGCGUUAUCCGGAAUUAUUGGGCGUAAAGUGUUCGUAGACGGUAUUUGUUGUUUUAUGUAAAAUACUAGGCUAAUUGCUUA